ACGAACGCUGGCGGCAUGCCUAACACAUGCAAGUCGAACGAGAAAGUACUUUCGGGUACGAGUAAAGUGGCAAACGGGUGAGUAACGCGUAGACAAGCUACCCUUCAGUCAGGAAUAACCUUUCGAAAGAAGGGCUAAUACCCGAUAAUAAGGGCUUUCAUAAGAAGGCUUUUUGAAAGAUUUAUCGCUGAGGGAGGCGUCUGCGUCCCAUUAGCUAGUUGGUAAGGUAACGGCUUACCAAGGCAACGAUGGGUAGCGGGUUUGAGAGGACGGCCCGCCACACUGGCACUGAGACACGGGCCAGACUCCUACGGGAGGCAGCAGUGGGGAAUCUUGCUCAAUGGGCGAAAGCCUGACGCAGCAAUGCCGCGUGAGUGAAGAAGGCCUUCGGGUCGUAAAGCUCUUUAUCUCAGGGAAGAUGAUGACGGUACCUGAGGAAUAAGCACCGGCUAACUACGU
Molecule: ribosomal RNA, 459 nt
Filed under: uncultured bacterium
Lineage: Bacteria
Description: bacterial SSU rRNA
Rfam family: Bacterial small subunit ribosomal RNA
Source: RNAcentral